RNAcentral lists this ribosomal RNA (468 nucleotides) under uncultured bacterium. RNAcentral describes it as "partial 16S ribosomal RNA". It matches the Rfam family "Bacterial small subunit ribosomal RNA", at positions 28 to 507 of the family's 1533-position model. The record is from RNAcentral.
GACGAACGCUGGCGGCGUGCUUAACACAUGCAAGUCGAACGGAAAGGCCCUGCUUUUGUGGGGUGCUCGAGUGGCGAACGGGGGAGUAACACGUGAGUAACCUGCCCUUGACUGUGGGAUAACUUCAGGAAACUGGGGCUAAUACCGGAUAUGAUCUCCUGCUGCAUGGGGGGGGUUGGAAAAUUUCGGCGGUUUGGGAUGGACUCGCGGCUUACCAGCUGGUUGGUGGGGUAGUGGCUUACAAAGGCUUUGACGGGUAGCCCGCCUGGGAGGGUGACCGGGGUCAAGGGUCCUACGGGAGGGAGCAGACGGCAACGUUACGCAAUGGGGGGGAACAUUGCGGAGCGGGGCGACGCCUGAUGCAGCGACGUCGCGAUCGUAAUGCCGUGUUACUGGUUGUAAACCGAUUUCGCAGUUGACGAAGCGUGAUUGACGGUGACGGGUAAAGAAGCACCGGCUAACUACGUG